GGACUACUGGGGUAUCUAAUCCCGUUCGCUCCCCUGGCUUUCGCACCUCAGCGUCAGUCACUCGCCAGGACACUGCCUUCGCCUUCGGUGUUCCUCCGGAUCUCUACGCAUUUCACCACUCCACCCGGAAUUCCGUGUCCCUCUCGAGCCCUCAAGUCCAACCGUCUUUCGCAUGCUCGGGGAGUUGAGCCCCCCGCUGUCACACAAAACGCGCCAGACCGCCUGCAUGCCCUUUACGCCCAGUAACUCCGGACAACGCUCGCCCCCUACGUAUUACCGCGGCUGCUGGCAC
RNAcentral lists this ribosomal RNA (292 nucleotides) under uncultured bacterium. RNAcentral describes it as "partial 16S ribosomal RNA". The record is from RNAcentral.